Long non-coding RNA from Parus major (Great Tit), 3702 nucleotides. RefSeq lists it as uncharacterized. The transcript is spliced from 3 exons. NCBI's taxonomy places the organism in Eukaryota, Metazoa, Chordata, Aves, Passeriformes, Paridae. The record is from RefSeq and is a predicted model, not a curated record.
GCUCCAGGUGGGCUGUGGAGCCCUGGGCUGCUGCUGAUUUGCUCCCUGCUGCCUCAGCCCAUUGAUGUUCGUGGGUUCAAGGUUGUAAUCCUUGGCAUUGGCUGAGGCACCAGGCUGCCAAGUGCUGUGUGGGAUUGCAGGGCUCUGGUUCAUCUCAGGGGGGUCUUGAUUGCUCAUCUCUCCCAGGCUGGGGUGUCACAAGAGAUGACAACACAAACAAGUGUUGCUGCAGGACACCCAGGCCCUAAGGACUGAUUGCAAACUCUCCUAAACCUGUCAACGAGUGGUUGUUCCUGAAUCGGGAAUGUUUAGAUCCUUUUCUACAUCCUCGUUAAUAAAAGAUCAGACCAUUAACAUUGGGGAUUAGCCUUUUAUGCAUCCAUCAAACCCUUGGCCUUUGAGAACUUCACUCAACCCAUCAAGACAUCAUAUUUUCCAUAACAGUCCCUGACAAAUGUUUAUUUUCUACCCUUUUAGAUCUGUCCACUUCAAUAUAUUGAACACUUCUGCAGAUCAGAAGCUUAAGGAGUUGAGUAUCUCUUACUCAUCCCCACCCACCUUGUGCUUCAUCUUUUCAUAGGGGAAUUAAUUCACUGUGGGUUUUACUAUCUACUAAUCUAUAAUUUAGACACAAACAACACCUUCCUAUUUAUCUCACUUCUCAGAUUUUUGUAGAAGUUUUUGUUUCUUCCAAUCCCUCAGACAUCUCUCAGAACAUGUCUUGUGUGAUUGAUCUGGGUUGCAGGUUCUUUUCCUGGGAUAGGGGGAAAACACCAUCAAACAGCGCAUUCUUAAGAGUUAUGGAUGUCUUUAUAACCUUUCAUCUUUUGUUUUCCUCUCACUAAUGGUCAAAGCAGGAACAAGAACCUUUGGGUUUAUUGCCAGGAUGCGGUGAAUAUCAGGAUACAAAAGGCUUUAUGAGAAAUUCCCAUCAUCACUACAAAUGUAGAGCACACCUCUCUUAUCUGCUCUUGUGCACAGAAUAAAAGAGAAUGGUCCAAUCUAUCAUUGAAAGGUGGAAAUCUGUCUAAAGGAAACCACCCAGCCUGAGUGGUGAAACCUGUUGUGGACAGCCAGGAGCUGUAUCUGCACAAGAGAUUCUGGAGAUGUCAACGAGCAAAGGACAGAGGCAACAAGUGACAUGAGAGGCACAGCUCUCAGAAAGGAUUUUUUUGUGGGGUUUAUUCUGCUAUUAUUUGAGGGUGGCAAUAGAGGGGAUAUCCCAGAAAAGGGUUUUUACAGAGCCCCUCUGAGCAUGGACACACCAUCAAACUCCAGCCUAGCCUUAGCAUCAUGACUAAAGCAUUAUUUGCUGCAGGACAUGUGGGGAUUUAUCUUCUUCUACAAAGACUGCAUUGAACAUGUAAGAAAAAUAGUUAUAAGCCAUCAGCACAGCAUAGAAAACAAAAGUGGCCAUGGACAUCAAAACUUCCCUGUGCCAGAGCCCAGCUCUGAGGUAAGGCUUGGUGGGACAGAGGCCAGUUCUGAGGUCAGGCUUGGCACUGGCUGGGCAGGUGACACGUAAAUUCCACGUUUACUUUGCUUUAGCCUUGACUCUGCCUGGACUGCAGAGCGCUGUGUUUGUGUUUGCAGUGAAAUAUGCCGGUUUUCCAAGCAGCAGGGCCGUGAUCCCGGGGCAGGUGUGACAUUGGCGUCAGGGCUGCACUGCAACAGUGCCACACCGUGUGGGGACACUGCUCCAUGACGUGACAGCUCGCUGACAGACGGAAUUUCAGCCCAGAUACGCGGCUUUCACCUGUCCCAGAAUAAUGUUAUCUCUGUGAAUGCAUGCUGGGAGCAGGAAUGAUGAAAUGUUCACAUUUCCUUCUCUCUGAAAGUCACAUUUCCCAUGUUCCUUUCCCUGCUGCAUGGGCCUUAUAAUGAUGACAUGAAAGCUGUGGUGGAGUUUGCACUUUGAUGGACAAAUAAAGAAUUAUUGUGGAGUCAUAGUUGGAAUUAAGCCUGUCCUCUCUUUAUUGCAGGCAAGAACUCCUUGAAAAUAGUUUCAAACUGUGGUUUAUGUUGUAUAAAAAUGAAAAAUUAGAAGGGAAGAAUUGCAAAAAGUCAUCAGUAUCAGAGCAAAAAGAAUGGAAGUUGUGUAAAACCCUCCUAUGGACAAAUCUCAACUGCAGUCAGGGAAACUGCUGCUCAGAGCAAAGGAUUUGGAGAAAAUAGUUCUUGAAAGUUUUUUCAGGACCUUUUCCUCCUACAGCUUCUAAGAACAUUCCCAGGAGUGUUUCCAUGGUUUUUGUUAAACCUCCUGGGUUUUCUAUUUCAUUUGAGAUUUUUCUUUAACCUCCUGCUCAGCUUGUAGAGGCAGUGGCACAAAGCUGCCUGCAAGUCAAGAGAUGAGACGCUCGCAGCUCCACACGAUUAUCUGCACAGCAGUGCCUCACAGCGAACUCAUUUAAGCACCUCGUGAAAAGCAGGUGAAAAAGGGCACAAGGAACCUGUUGGAUGUUGACAUCCACCUCCCAACUCUCCAAUCCCCUCUCGCCUGUCCUGCCAAAAUGCUGCUGCUCCCCCCGUGCCCGAUUGCAUCAUUCAUUCACGCCGCUGUUAUAAAACAGGCACCACGCCGGUGCCGGGCAGCACAGGCACAAGAUCCUCCUCAUUUUCCCUGCUGGAAAAACCCCCCGGUGUCACGGAUCUGCGAGCCAAACGCCAGCUCCUUCCGACCUGCGAGAAAAUCCCGGUGCCGGUGACUUACAGGACUGAAGCGGCCGCGGCUGCUGCUGCCGCCGGGAGCCUCCCGGCUGCGCCAGACAGGGAGGGAUCAGCCGAGCCCUUCAGCGACACAAACCCUACGCACGGGCUGAGCUGGACAAGAGCCGCAUUUUGCCUCUCCGGCCCUGAUAAAGCGCUGAGUCAGGCAGGCCGGGGGGUUUGUUUGAGGCUCCGGCACACAUGGAGCGGAGCAGGGCAGCGGAGGCAGCAGAGGUGUGACCUCCGCAGGGGAGGAGCCGCUCCGGGCGGCGCGGGGAGCUCGCUCUGCCCUCCCUGGGCACCGGGAGCUCGGGGAAGGCUCCGAUGAGCAGCAAUCAUCGGCAGCUUCUCCUGGCAGAAAUCAGAGGCGAGACAGGGACGCUGUUUUCGGGAGAGAAGAGAGGAUUUGUGAGCUCAGAUGUGGGAAGAGACCUUUAAGAUCUUGGAGUCCAGCCCGUGUCCUAACACCACCUCAACUAAACCAUGGCACCGAGUGCCACAUCCAGUUUUUUUUAAAAAACAUCCAGGUGUUUUUUUUAAACAUAUCCAGCACUUUAUUGCUCUUUUAAUAAAAAACUUUUCCCUAACAUCCAUCCUCGAUUUUCCUUGGCACAAUGUGAGACUGUGUCCUCUCGUUCUGUCAGCUGCUGCCUGGAAAAAGAGACCAAGCCCACCUGACUACAGGUAUUUAAGAUUGCAAUAUCUCCUCUUGGCUUAAGCUGUCAGUGCAUCCCUGAGCGAAGUUACACACACAAAUCACAUCCAAACCUGGCAAAAGCUCGGCAGCAAAGGGAAAAGACAUGGGAAAAAGCUCUGUGUUGCUUCCCCAAAUGCAGUGUUGUCAAAAGCUGUGGAAAAAUUGCCAAAGCUGCCCGUGCUUGUGUUUUGGCAUCCCACAGAAGAGCUUCCCUCGCACACUGCCGUGGGUUGGAAAAUGGAAGAGUGCCAGCCCAGGAGUUGUUUGGUUCAAGGUCAAGAAAAGCUGAUUUAGCUGAU